RNAcentral lists this unclassified non-coding RNA (283 nucleotides) under Hevea brasiliensis (rubber tree). Lineage: Eukaryota; Viridiplantae; Streptophyta; Magnoliopsida; Malpighiales; Euphorbiaceae. The record is from RNAcentral.
GAUUUUAUAGACUUGUCUAUAAUAAUUACAAUGAAUUCCUUUUGCCGUUGUUUUUUGCCUAACUAAAAGAUUUGGAGACAAACCAUGGAAAAUUGUGGGUUGCACGUGCUUGCUGAGGCAUCCAAACCAAAUAGGAUGUAGGGCUCAAUUCAAGUGGUAAAUGAAGAGAUGAAGUUGCAAUUGGUAUUAGUCAUCAGUUCAAUCCACCAUUAGCUCUUAUUAAUUCAAAAGUGUCUGCUAACUUAUUGAUGUGUAACCACAAUAUUUGCAAUUGCCAAAAAUG